RNAcentral lists this small nuclear RNA (121 nucleotides) under Salvator merianae (Argentine black and white tegu). RNAcentral's name for it is "U4 spliceosomal RNA (ENSSMRG00000004134.1)". It matches the Rfam family "U4 spliceosomal RNA". Rfam says of the family: U4 small nuclear RNA (U4 snRNA) is a component of the major U2-dependent spliceosome. Lineage: Eukaryota; Metazoa; Chordata; Lepidosauria; Squamata; Teiidae. The record is from Rfam by way of RNAcentral.
AGCUUUGCGCAGUGGCAGUAUUGUAGCCAAUGAGGUUUAUCCAAGGUGCAAUUACUGCUAAUUGAAAACUUUUCUAAAAAAAAGGGGGGGAUGGCCCACCCUUUUCUGAAGUUGAAAAAAA